AUAGCGUAUAUUAAAGUUGUUGCAGUUAAAAAGCUCGUAGUUGAACUUCAGACCUGGCUGGGCGGUCCGCCUAACGGCGUGUACUGUCUGGGUGGGCCUUACCUCUUGGUGAGCCGGCGUGCCCUUUAUUGGUGUGCGUCGGGGAACCAGGACUUUUACCUUGAGAAAAUUAGAGUGUUCAAAGCAGGCCUGUGCCCGAAUACAUUAGCAUGGAAUAAUAAAAUAGGACGUGCGGUUCUAUUUUGUUGGUUUCUAGAGUCGCCGUAAUGAUUAAUAGGGAUAGUUGGGGGCAUUAGUAUUCAAUUGUCAGAGGUGAAAUUCUUGGAUUUAUUGAAGACUAACUACUG
RNAcentral lists this ribosomal RNA (347 nucleotides) under uncultured eukaryote. Its description in RNAcentral is "SSU rRNA". It matches the Rfam family "Eukaryotic small subunit ribosomal RNA", at positions 594 to 945 of the family's 1831-position model. The record is from RNAcentral.